CAGCAGCACCACAAGUGGCAAUGAGACGCUCUGUGUUCUUCGCUGUGUGCCUCGGCCUGGUGCUGAGCCUUUUGAAAGAAGCCUCUGCUGAAACAACUGCUGCCACAAGAGUGACACCAAGCUCACCAACUACAGGAAACACUGCUGAUACUGCGACAGCUACAGAGCCACCAGAGGUGCCACCAACAGAACCUUCAGGUAAGGAGAAAAGCUUUCAGGCUUCCCCUUCUGGGGACAGCUUGCUGUAAGCAGGUUCCAGGGAGCACUGCAGAUACCCAAGCAGGGAGGAGUUCCCCUGCCUGGGUUUCUCCGAUCUCUUCUUCCACUGGAGACCAAGUAACCUAGACCAUGAUCUUGAAAAAUCUUCCAUUCUUCCAUCUUUCCCUGCUGGUCUUUGUUGUAAAGCAAAUGUGUUGGGGAAGAGUAGGGCAAGCUGCUCAUUCCAUGCUUGGUGCCCUUGCCUCCUGCUCCUGUGCCAGGGGGUGGAUGGCAAAGUACAAGGGGUUCCAUGCAAAAGGGGAGGCCAAGGCCUUGCAGGGAGCUGUUCCUGAGGCUGUUGGAGCAUGGGCAGGGAGGGAUGUGGGGCACAGCCCAGCAUGGAGAGGUCGGUGGCCAUGCCUGAGCACUACAGUGCGAAGAGUGCCUGUCAUCCUUGAUUCCCAGCCUGAUGCUGGGGAGGGAUGUCCACCGCAUCCCCAGUCACCUCCACAUCCUGAUAAUUCAGCUUUAGGAAAGAAUUUGUGCCUCUGGCAUCCAGCCACAUAAGCCUGUGCCCAAUGCCACUGUGAGGGAGUGCAGAUGUGGGAAGGAGGAGUCUAAGAGUAGGUUGUGAGAGAAGGAGUGUGAGAGAAAGACCACAGAAUUCAUCAAGG
Zonotrichia albicollis (white-throated sparrow) is the source of this 872-nucleotide long non-coding RNA. RefSeq lists it as uncharacterized. The record is from RefSeq and is a predicted model, not a curated record. Lineage: Eukaryota; Metazoa; Chordata; Aves; Passeriformes; Passerellidae.